Molecule: ribosomal RNA, 199 nt
Filed under: uncultured Enterobacteriaceae bacterium
Lineage: Bacteria; Pseudomonadati; Pseudomonadota; Gammaproteobacteria; Enterobacterales; Enterobacteriaceae
Description: partial 16S ribosomal RNA
Rfam family: Bacterial small subunit ribosomal RNA
Source: RNAcentral
UACUCCUACGGGAGGCAGCAGUGGGGAAUAUUGCACAAUGGGCGCAAGCCUGAUGCAGCCAUGCCGCGUGUAUGAAGAAGGCCUUCGGGUUGUAAAGUACUUUCAGCGGGGAGGAAGGUGUUGUGGUUAAUAACCGCAGCAAUUGACGUUACCCGCAGAAGAAGCACCGGCUAACUCCGUGCCAGCAGCCGCGGUAAUA